UACGUAGGAUCCGAGCAUUAUCCGGAGUGACUGGGCGUAAAGAGUUGCGUAGGUGGAUGUUUAAGUAGAUAGUGAAAUCUGGUGGCUCAACCAUUCAGACUGUUAUCUAAACUGGGCAUCUCGAGAGCGUCAAGGGUAACUGGAAUUUCUAGUGUAGGAGUGAAAUCCGUAGAUAUUAGAAGGAACACCGAUAGCGUAGGCAGGUUACUGGGGCGUUUCUGACACUAAGGCACGAAAGCGUAGGGAGCAA
This 250-nucleotide ribosomal RNA is filed under the name uncultured prokaryote. Its description in RNAcentral is "partial 16S ribosomal RNA". It matches the Rfam family "Bacterial small subunit ribosomal RNA", at positions 524 to 771 of the family's 1533-position model. The record is from RNAcentral.